This 434-nucleotide ribosomal RNA is filed under the name uncultured bacterium. RNAcentral describes it as "partial 16S ribosomal RNA". It matches the Rfam family "Bacterial small subunit ribosomal RNA", at positions 29 to 507 of the family's 1533-position model. The record is from RNAcentral.
AGCGAACGCUGGCGGCAGGCCUAACACAUGCCAGUCGAACGAACCUUUCGGGGUUAGUGGCGGACGGGUGAGUAACACGUGGGAACGUGCCUUUAGGUUCGGAAUAACUCAGGGAAACUUGUGCUAAUGCCGAAUGUGCCCUUCGGGGGAAAGAUUAAUCGCCUUUAGAGCGGCCCGCGUCUGAUUAGCUAGUUGGUUGAGGUAAUGGCUCACCAAGGCGACGAUCAGUAGCUGGUCUGAGAGGAUUAUCAGCCACAUUGGGACUGAGACACGGCCCAAACUCCUACGGGAGGCAGCAGUGGGGAAUCUUGCGCAAUGGGCGAAAGCCUGACGCAGCCAUGCCGCGUGAAUGAUGAAGGUCUUAGGAUUGUAAAAUUCUUUCACCGGGGACGAUAAUGACGGUACCCGGAGAAGAAGCCCCGGCUAACUUCGUG